Non-coding RNA from Caenorhabditis elegans, 21 nucleotides. Lineage: Eukaryota; Metazoa; Nematoda; Chromadorea; Rhabditida; Rhabditidae. The record is from Ensembl.
UCUCUCUGCAUAUAUCUCAUU